This is a long non-coding RNA of Oncorhynchus tshawytscha (Chinook salmon), 413 nucleotides long. Lineage: Eukaryota; Metazoa; Chordata; Actinopteri; Salmoniformes; Salmonidae. The record is from Ensembl.
GGGAGUGACAGAUAUAGGGAAGAUAAUCAAGGAGGUGAUGGAGUCCAGGUGAGUGACAGAUAUAGGGAAGAUAAUCAUGGAGGUGAUGGAGUCCAGGUGAGUGACAGAUAUAGGGAAGAUAAUCAUGGAGGUGAUGGAGUCCAGGUGAGUGACAGAUAUAGGGAAGAUAAUCAUGGAGGUGAUGGAGUCCAGGUGAGUGACAGAUAUAGGGAAGAUAAUCAAGGAGGUGAAGGAGUCCAGGUGAGUGUCAUGAGACGCUGGUGCGCUUGACGAUGGUGACAGGUGUGCGGGAUAAUCAGCAGCCUGAUGACCUAGAGGCUGGGGAGGGAGUAUAUGUGACAAGCACUAUGAUGAAACUGGCUCUCAUGAGGACCGCCACAAGAAAGGAAGACCCAGAGUUACCUCUGCUGCAA